GAAAGAUCAGUUCCAUGAUGCCUGGGAUGGACUGAGUCUUGGGUUAGAGGCUGAGACAACCUUGGUCCUGGAGAUGGCAAUUUAUGGAGGCCUUUGAGUGAUUGCUGUAUUGCUGCUAAAGAGGGCCCAAAACUUGGAUAUUGUUUAAAGCCAAAUCAAUAUCCUCUUCAAUGUGAUCUUCAAGCGUGAAAUAGGACACGGGCUUUCACUUAUUUUAUACAAGUAGUACCGGUUUUCUAGGACUUGCUUACCUGGUGACCAAAACCAUGUACUGACAGUAUGACAGGCAGACACUAUGGAAAAUACUAUAUCCAAAAGGAAAAAUGUAUUUUGCUAAAAGGAACUCCCAAGGCAACUUUACCAUAAGGAAAGAAAGCUCUGAAGAGAAACAAAAGCAUUCAAAAAGAGACUUGGGGGCGGGGGAGGGUAAAAGGGUCAGCAAGAGAACUGGGAACAAAUGACAAUGCACUGGGCAGUGCAGAAGAUUUAGAAGAGCAAGUGAAUUCUGUUUUUAUCAUCUUUGGGAUGUGUACUCAACAGCUACCAAACAAAAAGCGGUGAAGCCGUGCUGCUAUGAAUUAAAAAAUUUAGCUCUACUACUCUAUUAAGAAAAGCGUGGAAGAUUUUUUUGUAGAGGACAAAUGUAACACAGAGAAUUCAAUCUUAAGUGUGGCUGCAAUACCAGGCAAAAUUUUAAACAUUUGUAUUUAUAUUCUGAGUACUUUCAAAGUUUUCCAGUAAGAUUAUCCAAAUGACAUUCAUCUAUUCCACUAUUGUUCCUCAUCUACACAUCUCCAUGUAACACCUCUUUAUUUAUUAAAGACUGUAUCAUAAUCUUCCUUUCUACCCAAACUCUAUUGUAUUCUUAGAAUCUUUCAACAUCUACAAAUACACCCACAGAACUUCAACAAUGAACAUUUUCUACUCAACUCUAUUCCUAAGACCUGACCCUUUGUCGUCACCCAGAACAAUCUCCAACUCAACAAACUGUAAACGCCAACAUGGAACUCUCUGACGUGACAUCCUCUUCUACAUCUCCCUGCCUUCAUUUCUACUAUACCCCAUAGAGUGCUUCAGUCCUAGAAUCCCUCAGGUUUUUGACCAGCUCCCUCUCCUAGACUCAUGUCCUUCCCUACUACCUCUGCCACUAAAUAGCAUUAAUUAAUUAACCUCUCCUUACUCAGUUUCCAUAUCUGUAUAAUAAUGUUCUUUAUGCUUAUU
This is a long non-coding RNA of Neofelis nebulosa (Clouded leopard), 1221 nucleotides long. RefSeq lists it as uncharacterized. The record is from RefSeq and is a predicted model, not a curated record. Lineage: Eukaryota; Metazoa; Chordata; Mammalia; Carnivora; Felidae. The transcript has 4 exons.